UAGGGAUCUGUUGCUAGGUGUCUCUGGCGACGGGUGAGUACACGUGCGUACCUGCCCCUGACUCUGGGAUAAGCCUUGGAAACGAGGUCUAAUACCGGAUAUGUGACGUUCAGGCAUCUGAUGCGUCUGGAAAGAUUUAUCGGUCAGGGAUGGACUCGCGGCCUAUCAGCUUGUUGGUGGGGUAACGGCCUACCAAGGCGACGACGGGUAGCCGGCCUGAGAGGGCGACCGGCCACACUGGGACUGAGACACGGCCCAGACUCCUACGGGAGGCAGCAGUGGGGAAUAUUGCACAAUGGGCGCAAGCCUGAUGCAGCGACGCCGCGUGAGGGAUGAAGGCCUUCGGGUUGUAAACCUCUUUCAGCAGGGAAGAAGCGCAAGUGACGGUACCUGCAGAAGAAGCGCCGGCUAACUACGUGCCAGCAGCCGCGGUAAUACGUAGGGCGCAAGCGU
Molecule: ribosomal RNA, 453 nt
Filed under: Cellulomonas hominis
Lineage: Bacteria; Bacillati; Actinomycetota; Actinomycetes; Micrococcales; Cellulomonadaceae
Description: bacterial SSU rRNA
Rfam family: Bacterial small subunit ribosomal RNA
Source: RNAcentral